Long non-coding RNA from Polyodon spathula (Mississippi paddlefish), 3421 nucleotides. RefSeq lists it as uncharacterized. The record is from RefSeq and is a predicted model, not a curated record. The transcript is spliced from 3 exons. NCBI's taxonomy places the organism in Eukaryota, Metazoa, Chordata, Actinopteri, Acipenseriformes, Polyodontidae.
CUCUCUAUAGAGGCAGAAUCGCCAGAAGCCUGCUUCGCGCCCUGUACCUGUAGAUUCACUGGUGCCCGAGCGAGCUCUGCUUAUGUAAUGCUUUGAGAGAAUGGUCUUCAAAUAAUAGGUUUACCUCAAGAGGCUGGAGUCUCGAUUGAGGUUGAUCUUUAUAAUAACUGAGUGCGAAGUUUGUUGCCAGUUACUGUGAAAAAUGUGCACAUUUUAGCCUUAGAGGGAACACAGAACUCAGGAUAACUAUAAAAAAUAUCCAACAAUGCUACGCCCCAUUUGAAUACACAAGCAACUUCAAUGAGUCCUUUGCUUAGCAUCGGGCCUAACAACCACGAGCCUGUUCCCAGAGGAGAGCAGCUUUGACGUGACACCCCGCCGGCAUGAUGUAGCUCCAGAUUUAGGACUACACCACUGCUCAUGAUAUUCUAAAAUACUCAACAUACUUAUUUAAUGAAAAGAGAAAUAUUGUAACUUUACCAACUUUCAUACAUCAUUCUUCAGAUUAGACAGAUGAAAUCCCCUGGUAUUAUAAACGUAUUGCAAGAAAUUCUGUGUCCCUUCAAUAGUAAAGCCAGCCCUGCUAUUAAGGCCAGAUUUUGUCAGUCAUUGAAUAGCCUUAAUAGUACUAUAAAUAAAUACAUGUUUUCAUUUUCAGCAGCUUCUAACCAGAAUCCCGUGUGCUGCCAUGGACAGUGUGGAGAUGAAAGCUGUCCAGAUUAAAGAGGAGUUCCCUAAACCUGAACUUAUCCCCUUUAGAGUGGAGUUCUUUGGGCUGGCUUCCCUCCGCAUUAAACAGGAGCUCUGUGAGAUGCAAUGUGAAAGCAGUCAGCCAGAGGUCUCUCAGAUUAAAGCUGAGCAGAAUGAAUUGGAGACCCCCCCAGACAGAAGAACCGCUUCCUGUUAAACAAGAGGAGGUGCUGGAAAUUGUCCGUAUUAAACGGGAGACCUCUGAAGUAGAGUUUGACCACAUGGAACCAGGGAAGGAAGUAUCUGAGGACUUCAAACCAAACAUCCCUGAGCUGGAGCCUGUAAGCCUGUGGGAGUGUAGCGUGGUGCUGGAGAGAAUCUGCAUGAGAGAGCAAGGUUCCAGUCUAGCAGCUAAAGGGCAGUGGAGAAUAUCCUGACUGUGGAAAAGGUUUCACGCAGUUAGAGCAUAAAAAAAAAAAAAAUCCAGAUAAUUCAGAGGAGAAAAACCGUAUCGCUGACUGUGGGAAGAGUUUCAGUCACUCGGGACACCUGAAAACACACCAGCGAACUCACACAGGAGAGAAACCAUAUUGUUGCUCUGACUGUGGGAAGAGUUUCAGUCAGUCCGGACACCUUGCUGCACACCAGCUAACUCGCACAGGAGAGAAACCGUAUCGCUGACUGUGGGAAGAGUUUCAUUCGCUCAGGAACCCUGAUAAAACACCAGUAAAUUCACAGAGGAGACGAACUCUAAAGACUAUGUUCAAUGUGAAAAGCAGGGAUGUUUAGAGGUGUCAAUUUCACAAAUAACCAGUUUAUUAUCGAUAACAGUACUGUGAACAAAUGAAAUAUAAACUAAAGGUGAACAAAUCAGGUAAGUAUAAAGAUGGCACGGGUAAUCUGGUAAAUGGAAAACAGAAGCCAAAAAGUAACACAAAGGAGAAAUGGGUGUAGUGUCCGGUGGACCUCAAAUAAACCCACAAACACAAAAACACAAAGUCAAUGGACAGUCAGACAGGGAAAGAUAAAAGCUGAAUGAAAAGAUCACAGCUGGUAACAAUAACAACAGUCUGGGUGGCAAUGGAGGGUGCAUGAAAGUUAGACCUAACAAGUGCAGCAGAGCAACAAUGUAACAGAAUUAAACAACUAAACAAAGUAACAAAAGAACAAAACCAUAAAAUACAGGAAACAAUACAGGAAUACAGGAGUGGACAUUUGAUUGGAGCCAAUGGGUAGAGAAGAUGAACAGAGGGUGGUUGCAAGGAACUGUGGGAAAUGAAGUUUUAACCUGGCCAGGCUAGGUGGGUGAGACUUACACCCACAUUAUGUAGCAUGGGAAUUGCUACAUGUGUUUUGUGAUUACUUUUGUUUUACUGUUUUACUUUGCUCAGUUGUUUUGUGUUAAAUCUUUUUUUAUUUUAUUUUUGCAUGUAAAUAAAAAUAGCGCCAUAAUGCAUGUUUGCAUGCGACUUACCUGAGUUUUGUCAGUUCCUGCUUCUGGCCUGACGUCACCAUUUAGCCAUCCCUGUCACAGUGUCAUGGCUGUAUUAUGACAAUGACUGAAUAUUGCACCACGUGUAGCUUUGCAAUAUGCAUUGUCCAUGCUUGUAUUUGUGCUACUUUUCUAAACUGUCUGUCACUAUAAAUAAUUAUUGUGAUUCCGAACUCCGUUGUAGAUUUCAAAGAUAUUUUAUUCAAUACAGUUGAACAGUUGAGUAUUCCAUUUUCCCUAAGCAUAGGUCAUAACAGAAUCAACAAGACAAUGCAAUGUUGGGAUUUAAUUUAGCUUCUCUUAGACAUCAGCCCUAAUUCCUUAACCUAUGAGAAGAAACAAUUACACAUUGAUGCAGGUUUUACAGUCCUCCUAUCAACCAAUAAUAUCACUGACCACGUGGUUCACUUUCAUUUUAUUACCUGAAGUGAUUGUAACAUCAAAGUUGUCCACUCAGGAAUAAUGAACUUUAAAGGAAGGAAGGAGAUUGGUUUUUAUCCCCAAAAAUGGUUCCUGAAAAAGCACUGCGUCCCCUUUUAAAUUGCCAUUCAGUGCACUUCAAAAUCUUUCCCCUUCCCACCUGUCUUCCUGCUCCAGUAAUUCAUAUUGAGUUUGAUAGUUCAUCGUUCUUUGCUAAGGUAACUCCUCUGUGCUGAAUAAUUGUAAUUGUGUUUUCUUGGCUGUGCUGGGCUGUGUUGGAUUGUGAGGUUGAUUGGAAUAUUGUGUACAGUAAACAGUGAUUAGCAUGUCUUUGUCCUCAGUGGGCGUGUGUUUGUCAGCUCUUUGGCUUGCUGCACAUAAAUUGGCACAUAAGCUCUGCAAACAUUUCGUUUGUGUUUGUAGCUGAAGAAACACGUGCUGUGUGCUCCUGCUCGCUGGCUGAAAUCUGUGCUGCUGGUUGAAUCAACAUCUAAACAGAAUCUCAGCUCCAUGGCAACAGACAAGUGCUGAUCAUGUUCAGCACUGACAUCAAGGUGACGUCAUAAAGGAAAGUGAUGUCAUAAUGUCUCUGGCAGUGAAUUUUAAGCUGAAUCUUCAUUGCAGCAUUUUACUCCCAAGAGGUAUGUGUGUGUGUUUGUGGGAUUUUUACUUCACAUCUGAUCCCUCCUCAUUUCAUUGACCAAUGAAUUCUCAUCCUCGGCAGAUUCAUUUCUAUACAUUUUAUGGAUACAUCUUCCACAUUCUUUUUCUUUCUUCUAGUUCUACACUUUAAAAUGAUGAUUUUAUUUGAAUUGUCUG